Podarcis lilfordi (Lilford's wall lizard) is the source of this 73-nucleotide non-coding RNA. The record is from the annotation of a GenBank genome assembly. NCBI's taxonomy places the organism in Eukaryota, Metazoa, Chordata, Lepidosauria, Squamata, Lacertidae.
ACUGAGUUGGCUCAGUCGGUAGAGCAUGAAACUUUUAAUCUCAGGGCUGUGGGUUCAAGCCCCAUAUUGGGGA